This 276-nucleotide ribosomal RNA is filed under the name uncultured prokaryote. Its description in RNAcentral is "partial 16S ribosomal RNA". It matches the Rfam family "Bacterial small subunit ribosomal RNA", at positions 524 to 801 of the family's 1533-position model. The record is from RNAcentral.
UACGUAGGGGCUAGCGUUAUCCGGAAUUACUGGGCGUAAAGGGUGCGUAGGCGGUCUUUCAAGCCAGAAGUGAAAGGCUACGGCUCAACCGUAGUAAGCUUUUGGAACUGUAAGACUUGAGUGCAGGAGAGGAGAGUGGAAUUCCUAGUGUAGCGGUGAAAUGCGUAGAUAUUAGGAGGAACACCAGUAGCGAAGGCGGCUCUCUGGACUGUAACUGACGUUGAGGCACGAAAGCGUGGGGAGCAAACAGGAUUAGAUACCCCCGUAGUCCCUGAG